UAGAGGAAGUAAAAGUCAUAACAAGGUUUCUGUAGGUGAACCUGCAGAAGGAUCAUUAGUGAAUUAAUAGGGAUUGUCCACUCUGUGGAUUCCCGAACCCCUCACCAACAUCCACAAACACCUGUGCAUUGUCAGUUAGAUGUGACUUGAGUUUAACUCUUGUUUUAUCUGCUGGCGCCCCUUUAAAAACUCUGAGUUUUAUGAAUGUGAAGUUAUACUUGCCAAAUUUGGCAGAAUUAAACAUAACUUUCGACAACGGAUCUCUUGGUUCUCCCAUCGAUGAAGAACGCAGCGAAACGCGAUAGGUAAUGUGAAUUGCAGAAUUCAGUGAAUCAUCGAAUCUUUGAACGCACCUUGCGCUCCCUGGUAUUCCUAGGAGCAUGCCUGUUUGAGUGUCAUGAAUUCCUCAAAUCCCAAUGUUUUGCAAAAUUCAUUGCUUGGAUUUGGUUUUGGACUACUGUGCUGCUUCAUUGCAGCUAGUCUCAAAGACAUUAGCAGGGCUUUUCGUCUAGCGAAUAGCUUCCACUUGAUGUGAUAAGUAUUACAUCGGUGGAUUCAGAGCUACAUAGCGAAUAGAGAAGCCUGCUUCCAACCCGGCGAGAAGUUAAUUCUUUGACCCAUUAUUCAUAACUCUGGCCUCAAAUCAGGUAGGAUUACCCGCUGAACUUAAGCAUAUCA
This 678-nucleotide ribosomal RNA is filed under the name Microstromatales sp. 11053. RNAcentral describes it as "eukaryotic LSU rRNA". The stretch from base 245 to 398 matches the Rfam family "5.8S ribosomal RNA". Lineage: Eukaryota; Fungi; Basidiomycota; Exobasidiomycetes; Microstromatales. The record is from RNAcentral.